Molecule: long non-coding RNA, 1387 nt
Organism: Anguilla rostrata (American eel)
Lineage: Eukaryota; Metazoa; Chordata; Actinopteri; Anguilliformes; Anguillidae
Exons: 4
Source: RefSeq, a predicted model, not a curated record
CAAACCGCAUACUUCCAUGCUCCGAGUGCGCAUAGCGAGCAUGCCGCCAUCUUGGAGUGCGAGUCCAAACCGAAGUUCGGUAGUGUGGAGCACGGAUAAAGUACCCGGAUGCGCACUCCGUUUGAUCAAAAUUUGAAGUGUGCAUCCGUGCAUGCUCCGACUGGGAAAAAUCCCAUAAUUCAUUUCGAGAAAAACUGUUAGAAGAACAAGAGGACAAUGGCGGAUGACGGGCGUGAGGUUGUUCCUCCUGAGGCUUUCUACAAAUGGACAGAUGAUGACACAAGAUGCCUUGUGCUUUGGCGGCGGGACAAUGAGGCCCUCUUCACGGGCAAAAGAAAUGCCGCCAAGGGAGGAUGGGAGCAGUUUAUCAGUAACACAGGCCUGCAAGGGAGGGUAUCGGCUGCCCAAGCGAAGAAAAAAUGGGAAAACCUGAAAAAAAAGUACAAGGACAUCGUCAGCAGCCAGGCAGACAUUGUGCAGGAUAGCGCAGGCUGCAAUAACCUUCGGUGCAAAUGAAGGGUGCACCUCCAGGGAUGAAAGGAAGAUGCUCCUCCAUCUGGACUUCAUCAGUCCAAAAGCUCGCUCAAUUAUGGAACGAGCUUUGGACUGAUGCCGGUUAAAGCGGGCCUCCACCGGCCCCUGGACAGGCUCCCUGUAGGGGGUUAUGAGGUGGAUUGGAUCCUCCAAGCAGGGAUACCCUCCAUCACCAAGCAGCAUGUAUCCAGGGGGAGGAUACAGCUGCUGUACAUAUAUGGGGCUGUUCCGCAGGACCCGUGAGUCGUGAACAGACCCCGGGAAACCCACAAAGACAUCCAGGAAUUUCCCGGAGGAGUCACAGACAGCCUGCAGGAUAAUUGAUGGAAACAAUUUCCUGUUGACAUAGCACUGUCUAGUGACUCCUCCAGGUGGCUUCAGUCGUAUGUGGCACCCAUCAAUGGCUCCCACAGCCUUCCUGAAUGCUGAAUGUCCUGCCAGCCGACAGAACCCCUCUCCAAUGGCUUCCAGGUCUCCUGUUUCUGGGAGGUGUAUGACUCUUGGCAGGAUGGAAAUCAGGUCAUCUGCAAUGGCAUGGACCAUCCUGUGUACUGUGCUGCGUGGGACAGCAAACACCUCUGACACCACACGGUAGGAUGUCCCACAGGCCAGCCAGUACACAAAGAUGAGGACAUCUAAUGUGUAGCCCCAGCCAUGGUCCCUCAUGUUGGGGAGCAUUCUUAAGAGACUCCGGAUUGCCCGUCUGGACAAACGAAAGUCUGGCCGGAGAUCCUGGUCCUCAUCAAAAAAUUUUGUGAGGAUCGGGACACUGACAUUAAUCCUGCCAUACCUUGCAAGGCUUUCUCCCUAGAGAGAAAUUGACAAAGUAAAUAAAUACUUUACGUUACUUCAA